Molecule: ribosomal RNA, 496 nt
Filed under: uncultured bacterium
Lineage: Bacteria
Description: partial 16S ribosomal RNA
Rfam family: Bacterial small subunit ribosomal RNA
Source: RNAcentral
GAUGAACGCUGGCGGCGUGCCUAAUACAUGCAAGUCGAGCGAACAGACGAGGAGCUUGCUCCUCUACGUUAGCGGCGGACGGGUGAGUAACACGUGGAUAACCUACCUAUAAGACUGGGAUAACUUCGGGAAACCGGAGCUAAUACCGGAUAAUAUAUUGAACCGCAUGGUUCAAUAGUGAAAGACGGUUUUGCUGUCACUUAUAGAUGGAUCCGCGCCGCAUUAGCUAGUUGGUAAGGUAACGGCUUACCAAGGCAACGAUGCGUAGCCGACCUGAGAGGGUGAUCGGCCACACUGGAACUGAGACACGGUCCAGACUCCUACGGGAGGCAGCAGUAGGGAAUCUUCCGCAAUGGGCGAAAGCCUGACGGAGCAACGCCGCGUGAGUGAUGAAGGUCUUCGGAUCGUAAAACUCUGUUAUUAGGGAAGAACAAAUGUGUAAGUAACUAUGCACGUCUUGACGGUACCUAAUCAGAAAGCCACGGCUAACUACGUG